UGGGGAAUAUUGGACAAUGGGCGCAAGCCUGAUCCAGCCAUGCCGCGUGAGUGAAGAAGGCCUUAGGGUUGUAAAACUCUUUCAUCGGUGAAGAUAAUGACGGUAGCCGAAGAAGAAGCCCCGGCUAACUCCGUGCCAGCAGCCGCGGUAAUACGGAGGGGGCUAGCGUUGUUCGGAAUUACUGGGCGUAAAGCGCGCGUAGGCGGUUUGUUAAGUUGGGCGUGAAAGCCCGGGGCUCAACCCCGGAACUGCGUUCGAAACUGGCAGGCUAGAGUUCGGGAGAGGGUGGUGGAAUUUCCAGUGUAGAGGUGAAAUUCGUAGAUAUUGGAAAGAACACCAGUGGCGAAGGCGACCACCUGGACCGAUACUGACGCUGAGGUGCGAAAGCGUGGGGAGCAAACAGG
RNAcentral lists this ribosomal RNA (404 nucleotides) under uncultured bacterium. RNAcentral describes it as "bacterial SSU rRNA". It matches the Rfam family "Bacterial small subunit ribosomal RNA", at positions 355 to 776 of the family's 1533-position model. The record is from RNAcentral.